GGUGCUUGCAUCAUGAUUUACAUUUGAGUGAGUGGCGAACUGGUGAGUAACACGUGGGAAACCUGCCCAGAAGCGGGGGAUAACACCUGGAAACAGAUGCUAAUACCGCAUAACAACUUGGACCGCAUGGUCCGAGUUUGAAAGAUGGCUUCGGCUAUCACUUUUGGAUGGUCCCGCGGCGUAUUAGCUAGAUGGUGGGGUAACGGCUCACCAUGGCAAUGAUACGUAGCCGACCUGAGAGGGUAAUCGGCCACAUUGGGACUGAGACACGGCCCAAACUCCUACGGGAGGCAGCAGUAGGGAAUCUUCCACAAUGGACGAAAGUCUGAUGGAGCAACGCCGCGUGAGUGAAGAAGGGUUUCGGCUCGUAAAACUCUGUUGUUAAAGAAGAACAUAUCUGAGAGUAACUGUUCAGGUAUUGACGGUAUUUAACCAGAAAGCCACGGCUAACUACGUGCCAGCAGCCGCGGUAAUACGUAGGUGGCAAGCGUUGUCCGGAUUUAUUGGGCGUAAAGCGAGCGCAGGCGGUUUUUUAAGUCUGAUGUGAAAGCCUUCGGCUCAACCGAAGAAGUGCAUCGGAAACUGGGAAACUUGAGUGCAGAAGAGGACAGUGGAACUCCAUGUGUAGCGGUGAAAUGCGUAGAUAUAUGGAAGAACACCAGUGGCGAAGGCGGCUGUCUGGUCUGUAACUGACGCUGAGGCUCGAAAGUAUGGGUAGCAAACAGGAUUAGAUACCCUGGUAGUCCAUACCGUAAACGAUGAAUGCUAAGUGUUGGAGGGUUUCCGCCCUUCAGUGCUGCAGCUAACGCAUUAAGCAUUCCGCCUGGGGAGUACGGCCGCAAGGCUGAAACUCAAAGGAAUUGACGGGGGCCCGCACAAGCGGUGGAGCAUGUGGUUUAAUUCGAAGCUACGCGAAGAACCUUACCAGGUCUUGACAUACUAUGCAAAUCUAAGAGAUUAGACGUUCCCUUCGGGGACAUGGAUACAGGUGGUGCAUGGUUGUCGUCAGCUCGUGUCGUGAGAUGUUGGGUUAAGUCCCGCAACGAGCGCAACCCUUAUUAUCAGUUGCCAGCAUUAAGUUGGGCACUCUGGUGAGACUGCCGGUGACAAACCGGAGGAAGGUGGGGAUGACGUCAAAUCAUCAUGCCCCUUAUGACCUGGGCUACACACGUGCUACAAUGGAUGGUACAACGAGUUGCGAACUCGCGAGAGUAAGCUAAUCUCUUAAAGCCAUUCUCAGUUCGGAUUGUAGGCUGCAACUCGCCUACAUGAAGUCGGAAUCGCUAGUAAUCGCGGAUCAGCAUGCCGCGGUGAAUACGUUCCCGGGCCUUGUACACACCGCCCGUCACACCAUGAGAGUUUGUAACACCC
Molecule: ribosomal RNA, 1371 nt
Filed under: Lactiplantibacillus pentosus
Lineage: Bacteria; Bacillati; Bacillota; Bacilli; Lactobacillales; Lactobacillaceae
Description: bacterial SSU rRNA
Rfam family: Bacterial small subunit ribosomal RNA
Source: RNAcentral